AGUGGCGGAGCCUGCGGCACACCUCGGCUGCCGCCCUGUGCAGCAGGCACUGAGCACUGUGGCAUCACAGCGCCAUGGGGAGUGCUUGUGUGUCGGAGCACAGCUACACGCGGAAACGGCACAGUUAAAGUACAGUAUCGUGACCUCUCGAGACCGCCGUUGUAUAUGCUGUCUGUCAUUGACUGCAAGGGGCCUGGUACCAAAGGAAUUGUCCUAGUCUCCUCUACCAUAAUGACAACGGUGAUGGCUGCAUUUAUUGAGCACUUGCCCCAUGCCAGGGGCACUGUGCUCAGCACUCCACGCAGUCCUGCACUCCGUCUUGGCCAAAAGGUCGAGAAGCUCUCUGUGUCGUUCUCGCAUCAGCUUUACGAGGUAGGUGCUCUUAUUAUCGUCUCCGUUUCAGAGAUGUGGACAGUGAUUCUCUGGGAGUCUAAGCCUCUUGCCCAAGGCCACCAAGUUGGUGAGCGGCAGAAGUAGGAUGGCCCCUCCUGGACCGUCGGACUCCAAGCCUGUGUGACGCUGUCUCUCGUGGACCCAAGCACCUCCCGUCCUCGUAUGGGAUAUGCACAUGCCGUGCACGCUCCCUGAGCACAGCCAUGGCCGGGCUCUCUCAGCCACCCCGCCGGCCCGGGCAAGGUGCGGGCAGGGGCAGGCAGGAGGCGGAAGGGCGGCCCCUGGGCACGCGGAGCCCUCUGCAGCAGGCAGCCUCAGAGCCAGUGCCGUGCCGUACGUGCCGAGUGGCUAAGAGAGAAACAAAUCAGCCUACGCCCAGGAACCAAAUGCCACGAGAGACCAGUCUGUGGCGCUUGCCAGAACAACAGAGCUUCGUGUCCCUGUGUGUCAUCACAGGAAACAUGCGACCACGCAGCUCACUGGCACAAAAGCAGCCCGGGCCCAGCGUGCUGACUUGUGAGGUAAGGAGAGAGGGUCAGGGUCGCAGGGCUGGGCCUCCCCCUUUCAGAGCCAGAGGGGUGCCGUUGCUGGGCCUGGAAACAGAUCCCCAGGAAGACACCGAGUCUCUCCUGCAGCCCGGGGCUGGCCUUAGGGGGCCAGGACUGACAGCACCUGCCUUCUCGGUGGGCCUGGCUUUGUUGCUUCUCCUUGUUUUGGUUUUCAGGACUUUCUUAGUCAAGUGCCAGGACUGAGUAGAAUGGCACAAGAUCCACCCCUGUGGCCUGGUAAAGAUGACCUUCAAGGUAAAAGGCAAGGUCCCUCUGUCCCUGUCUCUCCCUCCCUCCCGCCCCAGGCCCGCGUCUCCCCUUUCCUGUCUCUCUUCUUCCCUGUUCCUCUUUUGAAUGUUCCUGGCUUCUCCAUCCUCUGGGGCGUCAUCACUUCUGGGACUCCUCCUGCUUCCGAAAAGACAUCAGUGAAUUGGGGUGUCUGGGACAGCGGAACAGUAAAGCCGAACGUGGAGAGACAGGAAUGGAUUGGCGCCUGAAAUAGCCCAACUCAAAGGCAGUUUACAGGCUAGUUAGGGGCUGACGCCUCUCGGAAAGCCCUGCCUCUCCCCUGCUCCUGCACCCACGUGGAAGGAAAGAACCUUCAUGAAACGGAAGGAGGGAGGAUUACUUCCCAAGACCUGUAGGAAGAGGAGUUUUCAUGAGCAGGAAGAUUGAGCUCUGGAGGACCGUCACCCAUCUUGGAGACCCCUUUUGCUGGGGCUGUCAGGAUCUUGACCUCUAGCCUGAGAUUAGUGGUCUGUUCUGGUCCCCACAUCCUCAGCCUUGGGGGCUGGGGACAGGGACUGCAGGGACCCAGACAUCUGUGGUCAGGGCCUGGCCAGAUGGACCACAGGAGAGAAUGGGCAGGGUGUUUUGAGGUAACCCCAUUUUUUCUGCCAGUCAAUUUGAUUUAUUGUUCAGGUCUUCAGCUGUAAUUACAGAGAAACUCAAACCCAAUCCCCGCCAGGUUUAAUCAGGAGGGCUGAUUUGUAGAUUGAUUACAAUUUAAUAGAUUUAUUAGGAGCUGAGUGUGCCCAGCGAGUAACAGGCUGAAUGAGGCUAUUGCAUCGAGAGAUAGAAAAGAAGAAUGAAGCCCAGAGCUGGGGAGAAAGGGAGGAGGGUUAGGAGGUGAGGAGAGAGGGAAGGGCAGGGGAGAGAAUUCAAGGACAAGGAGAGAGGGGCCUGUGACAAGCAGAGUGGAAGGAGCAAGUGGGAUUGAGUGACAUAGGAAGAAAGCUUUGGGACCAAUCUUUCCAGCAAUUCUUAGGAGCUAAGCAGGGCUCAUUAUUUAACUUUUCUGAGCCUUGGUGUCUGCAUGUAUAAAACGGGCAUAAUUAGCACCUACUUGCAGGGUGGUUGUGAAGAUAAAACGAGAUUGAGUUUGUGGAAGAAUCAAGCGUGGUACCUAAUACCUAGGCGUGGAGUGGGGUACAGUGGUCAGUAGAGAAAAGGGAGAGGGAGGAAAUAGAAGAGUAGAAGGAUGGAGAACAAAGGGAGAGAUUGCGAGGAGAAUACUGGCGGAGAUGGAUUCAUGUGCUACGUGUAACUGCUGUGGACAAGAAUGCCACGUGCCUUCAACAUCCAUUCUCUGUAUCUUCCACAGGAAUGGACUUCUAAUUUUUGACCAGAAUAAAGUUUCCCAGCCUUCUUUGUGGUUACAUGAGGCCAUGUGACAAAUUCUGGCCAAUGGACGUAAGUGGAAGGGAUCUGUGCAGGUCUAGGUGACACUUUGAAAGGAAAGGAUGUGCUGUUCCAGGCUUCCCGCGGCCGGCGCACCCUCGUGGGCGGCGGAGGGAACUCAGGGCCCGUGGGCAUCGCAGAGGCACAGCCAGCCCUGCUGACUUCGGGGAAGUGCGCUGCUUUACUGACCUAGAAUUCUAUGAAUGAAAAAAAUAAACCAAUGUCUUG
This is a non-coding RNA of Microcebus murinus (gray mouse lemur), 2849 nucleotides long. NCBI's taxonomy places the organism in Eukaryota, Metazoa, Chordata, Mammalia, Primates, Cheirogaleidae. The record is from RefSeq and is a predicted model, not a curated record.